ACAAAUAUAUGUAAAGGCAAUAAUCCAUCAGAGAGUAAGUUUGUUGAGCUAAGCAAACCAACAAAUAAAAAAUGGAGAGGCGUCAGAGUGAGGAAGAAUUAAAGCAUAAGCUUCAAGAAUUGCAGAAGCAGUUAGGAAAGAAACAAAUGUUUGAGGAAGCUGUUUCCUCUAUCCGAUCCCUUCUUCUUCAAUACUAUCCUUCUGCUUCCCCUUCUCUUCGUCAUUCGGUAAUUUCCCUCUUCCCCUUUUCUGGGUUUUCCUUUUAUUCUUGAUUUAUGUAAUAUGUAUUACGGGAAAUGUUGACCCAUUAUUUUCUUUUCUGCUAUAGAAAAGUCUUAUUACUUAAUUUUGCUUUUGAGUUAGUGGUUUUCGUGAUUUAUUUGAGUAUAUAUGAGUUUGGAUAGCUGCAGAAUAAAAAGUUAACUGGGUGAGUUUUACUUCUUGGAGCUGAAUUAUGGAAAAUAGGUUGCUAUGGAUAAAUGAGUUGGUAGAGGAGACGAGGUUUAUGCCAUAACAAAGUAUGUAAAUGAUUGUGCACUUUGGCACCUAAG
RNAcentral lists this long non-coding RNA (551 nucleotides) under Nicotiana tabacum (common tobacco). Its description in RNAcentral is "long non-coding RNA (NTAB_LNC005221)". Lineage: Eukaryota; Viridiplantae; Streptophyta; Magnoliopsida; Solanales; Solanaceae. The record is from RNAcentral.